Molecule: ribosomal RNA, 254 nt
Filed under: uncultured bacterium
Lineage: Bacteria
Description: partial 16S ribosomal RNA
Rfam family: Bacterial small subunit ribosomal RNA
Source: RNAcentral
GACGUAGGAUGCAAGCGUUGUCCGGAAUUAUUGGGCGUAAAGCGAACGUAGGCGGUUCCUUAAGUUUGGGGUUAAAGACCGAGGCUCAACCUCGGGAGUGCCCUGAAUACUGGGGGGCUGGAGGACGGCAGAGGAAAGUGGAAUUCCCAGUGUAGCGGUGAAAUGCGUAGAUAUUGGGAGGAACACCAGUGGCGAAAGCGACUUUCUGGGCCGUUCCUGACGCUGAGGAGCGAAAGCAUGGGGGAGCGAACAGG